Molecule: ribosomal RNA, 465 nt
Filed under: uncultured bacterium
Lineage: Bacteria
Description: bacterial SSU rRNA
Rfam family: Bacterial small subunit ribosomal RNA
Source: RNAcentral
GGGCCCGCACAAGCGGUGGAGCAUGUGGUUCAAUUCGACGCAACGCGAAGAACCUUACCUGGGCUAGACAACGGUGGACCGUCCUAGAAAUAGGAUUUUCCCUUCGGGGACUGCCGGUUCAGGUGCUGCAUGGCUGUCGUCAGCUCGUGCCGUGAGGUGUUGGGUUAAGUCCCGCAACGAGCGCAACCCUCGUCCUUAGUUGCCACCAUUCAGUUGGGCACUCUAGGGAGACUGCCGGCGUUAAGCCGGAGGAAGGUGGGGACGACGUCAAGUCAUCAUGGCCCUUAUGUCCAGGGCCACACACGUGCUACAAUGGGCGGUACAAAGGGUCGCUAACCCGCGAGGGGGAGCCAAUCCCAAAAAGCCGCUCUCAGUUCGGAUUGGAGUCUGCAACUCGACUCCAUGAAGUUGGAAUCGCUAGUAAUCGCGGAUCAGCACGCCGCGGUGAAUACGUUCCCGGGCCUU